AUCUUUGCGCAGUGGCAGUAUCGUAGCCUAUGAGGUUUAUCCGAGGCGUGAUUAUUGCUAGUUGAAAACUUUACCCAAUACCCCGCCUUGACGACUUGAAAUAUAGUCGGCAAUGGCAAUUUUUGACAGUCUCUGAGGAGA
Molecule: small nuclear RNA, 141 nt
Filed under: Salarias fasciatus (jewelled blenny)
Lineage: Eukaryota; Metazoa; Chordata; Actinopteri; Blenniiformes; Blenniidae
Description: U4 spliceosomal RNA (ENSSFAG00005012683.1)
Rfam family: U4 spliceosomal RNA
About the family: U4 small nuclear RNA (U4 snRNA) is a component of the major U2-dependent spliceosome. The structure of U4 snRNA from yeast and human has been reported.
Source: Rfam by way of RNAcentral